GUGGCUAUAGCUCAGUUGGUAGAGUCCCAGAUUGUGAUUCUGGUUGUCGUGGGUUCGAGUCCCAUUAGCCACC
This is a transfer RNA of Mitsuaria sp. 7, 73 nucleotides long. It matches the Rfam family "tRNA". Rfam says of the family: Transfer RNA (tRNA) molecules are approximately 80 nucleotides in length. Their secondary structure includes four short double-helical elements and three loops (D, anti-codon, and T loops). The record is from Rfam. Lineage: Bacteria; Pseudomonadati; Pseudomonadota; Betaproteobacteria; Burkholderiales; Sphaerotilaceae.